UACGUAGGGGCAAGCGUUAUCCGGAUUUACUGGGUGUAAAGGGAGCGUAGGUGGCAAAGUAAGUCAGAUGUGAAAGCCCGUGGCUUAACUGCGGGAUUGCACCAGAAACUGCAUUGCUAGAGUGCAGGAGAGGUAAGUGGAAUUCCUAGUGUAGCGGUGAAAUGCGUAGAUAUUAGGAGGAACAUCAGUGGCGAAGGCGGCUUACUAAACUACUACUGACGCUCAGGCACGAAGGCGUGGGGAUCAAACAGGAUUAGAUACCCCU
This 265-nucleotide ribosomal RNA is filed under the name uncultured prokaryote. RNAcentral's name for it is "partial 16S ribosomal RNA". It matches the Rfam family "Bacterial small subunit ribosomal RNA", at positions 524 to 788 of the family's 1533-position model. The record is from RNAcentral.